AAAUCUUAUGUAUAAUAACUUUAAAGUAAUAUGAAGUAUAAAUAUUAAAAAAUAUAUUAGAUUUAAAAUCAACUAUAUUAAAAUAAUAACGGCAUAACGAAUAUUUAAAAAAGGAAAAUAUAAAACAACUUAAUAAGGGUCAAAUUUGAACUUAAAGCAGAGUUAAAUGUAACAAGUAGAAAUAAAUCAAAAUACAGGGGCAGAAACGAGAUGCGUAAAUAACAAGGGGACCAAAAAGGGAAACAUUCCCGUCCCUCAAAACGCUGAGUUUUAAUAUGGAUCAAAUUGAAACAUAUUUAAAAAACGCGAUUAAAUCUGAAAACAAAGUAAAGCGUAAGGAAGACAAAUUAAAAACUAGAGAAUCAGAGGGACCAGGAGGAUAAAUAUUCCCUCCACCAAGAACACGGGGAUCCUACGCGUGCGGGUCGGGUUUGCGGGUUACAGGUCUUGUACGACGUCAUUUUGAGGCCACUACUCUAGGCUUCAAACGACGUCGUUUCCCAACCAACAGUAAUACCCUAAUCAGCAGGGUUUUCCCACUUUUCAAAUGAAAUCAGAGGCCUAAGCAGCCAUUAGACCUAUCCAUGGGCCGCGCGGCCCGGCCCGGCCCGACGGCCCACCCGAAAUAUGGGAGGGUUCGGGUAAAAUUACAGGCCCGAAAUAUGGGCUUGGGCAAAAAAAUGAGGCCCGUUUAAAAAACGGGUCGGGCCUCGGGCACCACUUUUUUGGCCCGGGCUCGACCCGGCCCGGCCCGAAUAUAAUAAAUAUAUUUUUUUUAUUUUUAAUUUUAAAACUUUUAAAAUAUUUUUUUAUUUUUUUAUUUUUAAAAUAAUUUUUUAAUGUUUAUUAAAAAAUGGGCCGGGCUCGGGCUUAUAAUAUUUUUCCCGGGUCGGGCCUAGGUAAAAUUUUAGGCCCAUAUUUUGGGCCGGGCUGAGCCCGGGCCUAGGAGGCGGGCCGAAAAUUUUUUCCGGGCCCAGCCCGCCCGGCCCAUGGACAGGUCUAGCAGCCAUUCACUCCGCCGCAAGAGGGAAACCCCUCUUCAACUUCGAUGCUGACGAAGUGAGUAAGGUCCGGCGACGCAUUUCGAGAAGGUAAGACUCCCCUCCCCUGUCUAUUUUUUUUUUUUUGCUUCGCAAGCAAAUAAGAAAAUGAAAAAGAAUCGAAGAAAGAAACACAGGUAAAUCGGGGAAAUCACCUUUUUCAAUUUCUCUGUAUAUUUUUGUAAUGAUUUUCUAAAUUUUUUUUACAUCCGUUUUUCUUCUCUUUUUACAAUAUGUUAUAUGGCUUUUUAUAAUCGAUUUACAAUAUAUUUUCUACUGUUUGGCACUGUUUUGGCUUCAUUUCUGCCACUGUUUUUGCUUCUAUCUUUCGCCUUUCUCUUGCUUUCGUUUCUGUCUUUUUUUUUGCAGGCAAUGUGAAGUCAAAGGAAGGAGUUUGUGCCAUUUUGGUGCAACAUGGGUGGAGGCGUCGUCAUCGGGCGCGGUGCACGCUGAGGGCGCACAUGGGGCAGCUACGGCGCGAAGGAGGGAGGGGACCCUAGGGUUUCUGAAAAUUUUAAGUUCUUUGGGCUUGUCGGGCCCUGGGGUAGUGGGUUUAGGUUUAGGUUGGGUUUGGGCCAUGUUGGGCUUUUGGGCUAUUGCUGUAAUUGAGUUAGUUGGGCCCCGGGCAAAAUGGGCUUGUACAAUUCUUACAAUGAUUUUUUUAUAAGAAUUACUUUUCAUUUAAUGGAGAAUAUUUUUUAUUAAUUAUAUUCUAUUUUAUUUAUUUUAAUAUUAUAUUAUCCUACAAAAACUUUUAGUUUAAAAUUUGAAUGAAAUGUUUAAAAUUUAAGGAUAAGAUGUAGAAUUUUAUUUUAUUUUAUAAUUUAAUAUCUAUAUUUAUCACACAAUCUAAUUAUAUUUCAUAAUUAAUUUUAAAUAAUAUAUCGAAUAAUUUUAUAAUUUAAAUUCAAUACUUAAAUUUUCUAACAUAUUUUUUUUUAACAUAUCAAACAAUAACUAAAUCAUUCAUCAUGUUGAUCAAUUAGCAGUAAGAUAUAAUCAUCUAAUCAACGACGUCAAAUUUUAUUGUAUAAACUCAUCCUAAUGCUUUACAUUUAUCACAAAACUCCAUAUAAACACAAAGAAUGUUUAACUCUAUUGGCAUUGGCAUUGGCAUUGUUGCCAGUGCAGGUGGACAAAGAUUCGAGUGAUCUAAAACGCAUUAUCCUUCUAUUUAAAGAUUAAAGCGGGGCUAUGAGUAAUUUUAGGCAGUAUAUCUAAAAGAGCAAAUAUAAUAAGAACUUAGAGCGAAACCAUGAAGAUGAAUCCAUUUUCGCAUCCCAACUUACCUUAACUAUAAUCUAAUGUUAAAACUCAAGAAGAAGCUCAAGAUUCCUACAUUCUUUCCUUUAAGAACUCAUCAGACAUUUUUUUUUUAACUCGAAUAAGCCUCUCUAGAGCAACAGUGAUGUGAAUGGAGAGGAAAAGAAUUGUUCAAACCAUGCAAAACCCUUUUCUUAUAACUUUAAAGACUUGAAAACAUUGAGUUUCUCCGAAAAUUCCUGUUCAAUAAACAUUACCGUGAAUUGCCAAAAGAAAACCUUUAAAUGAGAAAAGGGUUGAGUAAAUGUGUUUACCUUACUAAAAUUGACUGAGAAGAGAAUGGAUGAGGAAUUUUUGCUCCUGGAAAAAAUGAAAUGAUUUGUGAAUUUGGAAAGAAUGCAACUUUUCCC
Molecule: long non-coding RNA, 2713 nt
Filed under: Gossypium barbadense (sea-island cotton)
Lineage: Eukaryota; Viridiplantae; Streptophyta; Magnoliopsida; Malvales; Malvaceae
Description: long non-coding RNA (GBAR_LNC017549)
Source: RNAcentral